AUUGAACGCUGGCGGCAUGCCUUACACAUGCAAGUCGAACGGUAACGCGGGGCAACCUGGCGACGAGUGGCGAACGGGUGAGUAAUGCAUCGGAACGUGCCUGGUAGUGGGGGAUAACUGCUCGAAAGAGCAGCUAAUACCGCAUACGACCUGAGGGUGAAAGGGGGGGAUCGCAAGACCUCUCGCUAUCAGAGCGGCCGAUGUCGGAUUAGCUAGUUGGUGGGGUAAAGGCCCACCAAGGCGACGAUCCGUAGCUGGUCUGAGAGGACGACCAGCCACACUGGGACUGAGACACGGCCCAGACUCCUACGGGAGGCAGCAGUGGGGAAUUUUGGACAAUGGACGCAAGUCUGAUCCAGCCAUGCCGCGUGCGGGAAGAAGGCCUUCGGGUUGUAAACCGCUUUUGUCAGGGGAGAAAUCUUCUGGGUUAAUACCUCGGGAGGAUGACGGUACCUGAAGAAUAAGCACCGGCUAACUACGUGCCAGCCGCCGCCGUAA
RNAcentral lists this ribosomal RNA (498 nucleotides) under uncultured bacterium. RNAcentral describes it as "partial 16S ribosomal RNA". It matches the Rfam family "Bacterial small subunit ribosomal RNA", at positions 29 to 523 of the family's 1533-position model. The record is from RNAcentral.